AAGAUGGUGAUCCAAUUUCAUCUGAACAUCAGAUAUUUGUCGAGGAGAAGAUUCUGAAUUUCCAUCCACAAAAAGAAGCAAAGAUUGGUGCUGGCGUCGAGUAUAUCACGGUGGAUAAACACACAUUGUUCCAGGAGACCAGGUGUUUCUUUGUUGUCUCAACAGAUGGGACGAAACAGGAUUUUUCCUACAUAAAAUGCAUCAAGAACUUAUUGACAGAGAGAUACACCACCUGCAUCGCUGAAGAUUUCAUUGGAAAAUUCUUUAAGAAGAAGAGUGAUCUUCCUUCGGCUGAGAACCAGGACAAGAACAAAGAUGCCACAACAGCUGAAACCUUUGAAAAGAAACAAGAGAUAACCACAGAAGUCUCUGAAAUCCCCUCUGGUACUGGAGCAGAAGAGACUCAAGAUCAAUCAGAAUAAAAGCCUUUUGUCUUAAAAAAACACAGUCGUUUUUCUAUUUGGUAACUAUAUUGCUUUUUUUUGGGUCUAGAACAGUUUAUUAAUUGCAUGCACUUGGUACUUUUUGUUGAAAACAGUAAGUCAAGGUUUCAUUGCAGUUGUUAGUUUUAGUUU
This is a non-coding RNA of Camelina sativa (false flax), 575 nucleotides long. The record is from RefSeq and is a predicted model, not a curated record. NCBI's taxonomy places the organism in Eukaryota, Viridiplantae, Streptophyta, Magnoliopsida, Brassicales, Brassicaceae.